RNAcentral lists this ribosomal RNA (464 nucleotides) under uncultured bacterium. Its description in RNAcentral is "partial 16S ribosomal RNA". It matches the Rfam family "Bacterial small subunit ribosomal RNA", at positions 28 to 507 of the family's 1533-position model. The record is from RNAcentral.
GACGAACGCUGGCGGCGUGCCUAACACAUGCAAGUCGAGCGAAUGAAGUUCCUUCGGGAAUGGAUUUAGCGGCGGACGGGUGAGUAACACGUGGGCAACCUGCCUCAUAGGGGGGAAUAGCCUCCCGAAAGGGAGAUUAAUACCGCAUAAGAUUGUAGUACCGCAUGAUACAGCAAUUAAAGGAGCAAUCCGCUAUGAGAUGGGCCCGCGGCGCAUUAGCUAGUUGGUGAGGUAAUGGCUCACCAAGGCGACGAUGCGUAGCCGACCUGAGAGGGUGAUCGGCCACAUUGGGACUGAGACACGGCCCAGACUCCUACGGGAGGCAGCAGUGGGGAAUAUUGCACAAUGGGGGAAACCCUGAUGCAGCAACGCCGCGUGAGUGAUGACGGCCUUCGGGUUGUAAAGCUCUGUCUUCAGGGACGAUAAUGACGGUACCUGAGGAGGAAGCCACGGCUAACUACGUG